Molecule: signal recognition particle RNA, 306 nt
Filed under: Setaria italica (foxtail millet)
Lineage: Eukaryota; Viridiplantae; Streptophyta; Magnoliopsida; Poales; Poaceae
Description: SRP RNA Plant_SRP
Rfam family: Plant signal recognition particle RNA
Source: Rfam by way of RNAcentral
GCUGAGCUCGGUUGCGCGGGCUUGUAACCCAAGUGGGGGCAUUAAAGUGGUGUGGAUGUUUAGUGCGGACUCUGGGUUUGAGUCUGUGGUGUGCUCUUGCUGGCCCUGCCCGUUCCAAGUUGGUAGUGGCCUAUGCAGCCCAGGCGAAAGCUUGGGCUUUAUUGGACCUGAAGUGGCAGGAACGGCGUGAGGCUGGUUUCACAGAGCAGCGAUCACUGCCCGCUUCCAACGGUGGAAGGAUGACAGGCCGCUACAUCACGGGCCCAAUACAGGCUCAGGGUCCCUCUACAACAGACCAUCAUCUUU